CUGUGAAAAGCCAUUUCACAUCCCAUCAAAUUGCUACUAUAAAAGUUACUACGAACUUUUGAUGAGAGCUGCCCUUGCUGUUAGGAUGGGCACACAGCUGUCUAUAAAACUCUAGCAAAGAACAAAGUCCUAGCAGUCUCAUUUCAUUGUUCCUACCACACUGACCACCACAUUGCUUUUUGGAUGGAUCAAAAGCAAAACAGGACCAGACAGCUGUAGUUUUAGGGCUGUGCCUUUAAAGCCUGUGUGUUUAUUUUGAACUCCCUCCUCCUCCCUCCACUGCUGGAACGUGCAGCUAGUAAGCAGAAAAAGGAUGAGGAGCUAACUACCAACUAUACUCUGGAAAAACAACUUUUACUCCAUGUCCUCAGAAAAUCAGUCCCAGGUAACUCACUGGCAAGAUGCAGCUGAAGUUAGCUCCACCAGAGAACCCUGCAAACAAAUGCCCAGUUGCUGUGGAUACCCAUCCUUGUCCAGCACCCUAGAGUUCUCUGUUUUGUGUUUAGUGGGAGGUGCCAUCCUACCCAUUCUGGUCCCAAAUUGUUUUCUGAAACAAGUGAAACUUCGUCAGGACUGAGGGAGACUUUGGUGUUCCAGUGUGUGCUGCUGCUGCUCUGCCUCCAGUGCAACAGGUAGGAUGGAGUAACGCCUAGCUAGCUCAUCCCUUUGUUGCUGAACCUAAGUCCAAGGACAAUGGGCUGUGGGAGGGGAGAGAGCACUGGUCAGGACGGGACAGUGGGGAGAGGCUGUAUGUAUUAUACACCUACUGUAAUGUCUUCAUCAGCAUCACCCUCCACGUUUCCCUCACUUACAACUUAUAUAUAUAUAUGUAUUGUAUAUAGCACGUGAAAAGGAUCAAGUUGAAGUAGACGAAACUGAAGAGGGGAACCCAAACAAAGAGGAACAUCCUUGCGCUCCAGCCCGGAUCCUGCUCAUCAUCCACUUGCUGAUUUACAGUAAUUGCUCUGCCAUCCAAGUUUGUGUAAGUGUGCCUGGAUAGAGAUGGGGCAAAAGUUUGCUGAGAAAGUGGAAGAAAUGGCAGUGGCUGUGCCCCCGGCCAUGCCAGGGAGGAGGAGGGUGAGGGUGGGAGCCAGAAACCUGCUGCAGCGCUGCACUUCUUUGUUUGCUGGGAGAACUUGAACAAAAGGAAAAGUCUGAAGAACUCUUUAUCUGCAUCCCUAUCUCGCCGCCAGCCCCUCUCACGCCUCGCCAGGCUCGCCUCUUCCCGGGACUCCUCGCAGCCUCAUCGGUACCUGAGGGGCACAAAGGAGCUUCUGAAGUUUCUCUUUUAAAGCACGCAAAGUGUUUCCUGGAUCUGUUAAAGUUGCAAGACAUGAUGGUUGAAUUUGGUUGAAAAAAAUCUGUUACCUCCAUUCACCAGAGAAGAUGGUAAUGAAAUAUUCUCUUUAACUGCGAUUUUGUAAGCAACAUAUGGAUUAAACAUUGGUUCUACACAACAAUUGGAUUACAAAGUUCUUUCCAUGUUUGGGAUAUACAAAAUAUUUUCUCUAAUUUACCUGGAUUCAAGAUUAUGCUUCACAAACAAGUCUUAUAAAGAAUGUCGUGGGUGGAGGUUGCGCAAUAAAAGGAGGCUAAAACCCAAAAAUGAUUUGAAAUGCGGGAGAUCUUUCUUAUGACCCUCUCCACAGUCAAACAGACGUCUUGGUUCCUCCUACGCAUGGUUGAGGACAAUCCUCCAAACCCAGUGUGGUCAUGGGGGCGAAGGAUGCUGGGAACAAUAAUAGGUGAGAAGGAGCCCAGGACAAGGAGGUGUCUAAUAAGGAGCUGUGGAAGAAUCUUCUCUACAUACAGUAUAUACUGCAGAAGAUGUUGAAGAUAAGAAAUCUGUUAGCUGAAACUGUCGUUCACAAAAGCCCACUAGGAAGUGCCCCAGAUAAUCAGCACACAAAAUGAUGGACAUAUAGAUUUUAUCUUAACCACUUUUUUUUAUAUUGUAUAUAAGUUUUUAUUUUGUUUCAUAUCCAUGAGAAUUGAUGGUGAUUGCUGCAUUAAACACUUUUCAGUAUAACUAUUAUGUUUAUUAAGUAAGGUCAUGGUGCAAUCAAAUUAUUCUCUCUGUUCAGUGCAUAUUAUAGGGUUAAUUGCACACUUCUAAUUGUGCAUCUUUUUGAAUAAAACUUUUAUACCUAAA
Long non-coding RNA from Pseudophryne corroboree (corroboree frog), 2152 nucleotides. RefSeq lists it as uncharacterized. The transcript has 5 exons. Lineage: Eukaryota; Metazoa; Chordata; Amphibia; Anura; Myobatrachidae. The record is from RefSeq and is a predicted model, not a curated record.